CCUGGCGUACUCUGGUCCAUGGGGUCACAAAGAGUUGGACACGACUUAACGACUAAACAAUGGCAAUGGGUUCAAAUGCAGGAUUCAGAGAAAAUGUAAAAUGUCAUUGAAAUCCUCCCCCUAACCAUCAUCUUAGAACUGCAGACCUGGAAAUGUCUGAAUCAGUUCAGAUUCUAGAGAGGGAGAGUACCUCUGCCUACACAAUGAGUUUUAAUGCUACUUCGCCCACCCCCCAUUAUGCGGAUUCAUUCAGUCUCUAAAUGUGAAGCGAUAAAGAAUUAUUUCAGAGUACACAGAAUGUCCCUUUUCCCCCACAGAGCACCCAGGGGCGAAUCCACACAUAUGUAGGAUGCAGGGCGGGGUCAGCUGCACUGGUAACUUCAUGAGGGAAAGUACGAAGAAGGCUUAGGUGGUUGCAGGUUAAUGCACUUUAUUUUCUUAAAUAUAAAUGAACGAAAUGAACAGUUGAGGAAGAGAAGCUGACGUUCACACCUACUUUCCGGAAACUAGUCUGAAAGCAGAACAACGAACAUUGACCCAGACGAACCCCCUUCCUUGCCCUUGUCAGGGUCUGUUGGUUAUCCACGCAGGCUUUAAUUUUGACACCAAGUCCUCUUGCAGUGAUGAUUUUCUGCAAAGUCGUUACUCUAUGCGCGCGAGGAGAAGGGUGUCGAGAGGUAAAAGAGAACCGUGUUCUUGCACCCGCUGAAAAGUCGUGCAGAGGGCAUGCUCCGCACGCCAAACUGCGACACACCCGUCGAAAAGUCCCUUUUAGCGCCAGACCACCGUCCUGCAGGAACGGCCCUUCUUCUGAGCACCGGAGGCUACAUCGAAGCUACAGAGCAUCAUGCACGUUUAAGGCAAUGAUUGAUGGAUCUGCCUUUAUUGGAUUAGAAGAAACCAAAGUGGUAAAGAAUAUGAAGAUUUUUGAUUGGAGUCCUGAAAAAGAUCGGACAGAAAAUGUGGUGGAAAAAGUGAGAGGCACUUUUGAGGCUGAAUUUGAAGACCUGGACUCUGAUAAUAAAGCCUGGGAAUUAGAUGUUAGAGCCACACCAACAGAUACAACAGCUGCACCCCAGUAUGAGGAAGAGAACUGGGAUAAAGAGCUGGCAGAGAGUGAAAAUGAUCAUCCUUAUGAUUUUGAAGAUGCAAUCCACAUUGCAAGUUUCUUGGAUCAAGAUCCAGCAACAUCAUGUUCCACUCAAGAAAGACCUUUGUAUGACCCAAGUUUUCACCAUGCGGCAUCACUGACUUUGAACCUGACACAGGUCACACCAGUGGAUGGCCAGUUUGAUGACGCUGUUGACUGAUGCAUGCUCAGCCUUGGGGCAGAUGCGUCACUUCUAAACAGAAUCCUUCACGAAGCUGAGCUGAAAAACAAGAGGAACCCUUUUGUGCUCUGAAGGUUUGAAUCUUGUCAAAGACCAGAGCAACACAAGAUUAAGGAUAUAACUGAGUAACAAUUAUGGAGCAAAAUUUUGCUUUAAAUAAUCACAUAAAUGGUUUUGGUUUAUUAUUUUAAAGUUGCUGGUGUGGUUGCUGCUGUUGUUAAAUUGCUCAUUUUUUUCUUUCCUGUCACCUGUACAGUAUUAUUUUAUUUGACGUGCUUGACUAAGCUGAGGUGUCAGUAUGUAUUAUUUCCAUAUUAUAAACUCAGUAUUGUGUUUGCUGUAACUUAUUUUUUUGAUAUAAAAGAGCACCAGUGUGCAGGAGGCAAUUACUUUGACAGGAUAAUUUCUGAAAAAUACAGGUUAUUUGGUUUUGUACACUGUGUACACAAGUGCGUUAUUUAACAUAGAAAUUGGAAGAAGUGCUGAUUUACCAUAUUGCCUAACACCUGAAUGUCCACUUUUCACUGAUUUAUUUAUACAUACAGUAUUGGAGACCUUAUCACCAAUGCUUUCCAGAGGCAGUUAUUGAUUGUCACCCUUAUAUCUCUUAGCAAUGAU
RNAcentral lists this long non-coding RNA (1949 nucleotides) under Pogona vitticeps (central bearded dragon). RNAcentral's name for it is "lncRNA (ENSPVIG00000001086.1)". The record is from RNAcentral. Lineage: Eukaryota; Metazoa; Chordata; Lepidosauria; Squamata; Agamidae.